This 441-nucleotide ribosomal RNA is filed under the name uncultured bacterium. RNAcentral's name for it is "partial 16S ribosomal RNA". It matches the Rfam family "Bacterial small subunit ribosomal RNA", at positions 338 to 795 of the family's 1533-position model. The record is from RNAcentral.
CCUACGGGGAGCUGCAGUGGGGGAUAUUGCACAAUGGGGGGAACCCUGAUGCAGCGACGCCGCGUGGGUGAAGGAGCGUUUCGGCGCGUAAAGCCCUAUCGGCAGGGAAGAAGGAGGACGGUACCUGACUGAGAAGCCCCGGCUAACUACGUGCCAGCAGCCGCGGUAAUACGUAGGGGGCAAGCGUUAUCCGGAUUUACUGGGUGUAACGGGGGCGCAGACGGCAGCGCAAGCCAGGAGUGAAAGCCCGGGGCCCAACCCCGGGACUGCUCUUGGAACUGCGCGGCUGGAGUGCAGGAGGGGCAGGCGGAAUCCCUGGUGUAGCGGUGAAAUGCGUAGAUAUCAGGAGGAACACCGGUGGCGAAGGCGGCCUGCUGGACUGCGACUGACGUUGAGGCCCGAAAGCGUGGGGAGCAAACAGGAUUAGAUACCCUUGUAGUC